UACUUAUUUAUUUAUUGCCUUUAUUUUAAAACAGGUAUCAGACUCCAGUAGUUGCCCAUUUAUUUUAAUUUAGAUACUGAGUGUUCUUCUCCAAAUCCUAAAGCCCAAAAUCUGCUGGCAGUUCAGGACGCGGCUCCUGCUCAGACUUCCUGGUGCGUCACCCACAGCAGAUAGCAGGGCACAGGGCUCCCUCUUCCCAGUGGGACCUUCCGUCUUUCCCCUCUAUACAGCUUUUUCUCCCAGUCCCUACGGGGAGAAGUAAAUUCUUGGACACACUAUCCAAAGCAAAAAGCCAUGCCCAUGAGCUGUUCAUUCUGACUAUUCAUGGAGAGACACCAGGCAAUUGAAAUGAGAAAAUCCCACUGUGCCCCUGUGAGCCUUGGGGCUGCUGACUUUGGUGGCUUGAGUCCCAGGGUGCCAUUGUGGCCUCCGCCAGGUCCCCCAGGGCCAGGACCUCUCCCGGCCAAAGUCAAGAAGAGGCUUUGACCUCUCUGAACCUCUGACCUCUCUGAACACCUCAUCUUACUCGUAGUCCUUUGCUUGAUGUUUAUUUUCCUGACCACACUCUACCUUCUGCAGGGCGUCUGCCACCCCCAUCCCCCAUCUGCCUGCUUCCUUCCCUGUUGUAUCAUAUCUUUGGUGCCUAGCCAAGAACCCAGCCCAUGGUAAGCACCCCAAAAAUGUUUAUCCCAUGCCAGGAUGGACCCAGCCUUCUCUGUGCUGACUGCCCAAGGAGGAAAUGAAAUGACUCUGAACAUAAAGAGUAUCAAACUCAUGAAGAAGCGGACUUUUACCCCUUGGAGUUUCUAUUUCCAUGUAGCGACUUGUCUAUUCAUCCAGCUUCAAACGUACCUUCCCAGUGAGAGGCUCAAGUGUCUGGGCACAGGUAACCAGGCAGGAAAGGGAGGUAGGUGUGGGAGCCUCGGUGGUGGAGGUGAAGCCAAUGAACCUGCAAGCCAUUAAGGCCUUAGUGAAGGCCAGUGUGAAUUUUCUUCUGGACAAAGAGAGGGGAGUCCAGCAUCUGCUCUCGUUCCUUCAGAAUGCUUGAUCAGUACCCACUCCUCAGAAGAGAGCCAAAAGAAACAGGGGUCUAGGGACCAGCCCAGAGGUCUCAGAAUUGGCUUAGGGACCCUGGAGAUCUGGAAGAGCAUGAGAUCACAAAAUACAAUAAAAUCAUAAAACGUCAACUAAGCAGAAUAUGAAACUUGGUGCAGAAGAAGAAUGAAUAUUCUUUUUUUAAGAAUUGUUUUUAUUAAAAAAUUUUUUUAA
Long non-coding RNA from Acinonyx jubatus (cheetah), 1269 nucleotides. RefSeq lists it as uncharacterized. The record is from RefSeq and is a predicted model, not a curated record. The transcript has 2 exons. NCBI's taxonomy places the organism in Eukaryota, Metazoa, Chordata, Mammalia, Carnivora, Felidae.